RNAcentral lists this transfer RNA (72 nucleotides) under Ovis aries (sheep). It matches the Rfam family "tRNA". Rfam says of the family: Transfer RNA (tRNA) molecules are approximately 80 nucleotides in length. Lineage: Eukaryota; Metazoa; Chordata; Mammalia; Artiodactyla; Bovidae. The record is from Rfam by way of RNAcentral.
UCCCUGAUGGCUCAGACAGUAAAGAAUCUGCCUGCAAUGCAGGAGACCCAGGUUCGAUCCCUGGUUGGGGAG